This 292-nucleotide ribosomal RNA is filed under the name uncultured bacterium. Its description in RNAcentral is "partial 16S ribosomal RNA". It matches the Rfam family "Bacterial small subunit ribosomal RNA", at positions 505 to 796 of the family's 1533-position model. The record is from RNAcentral.
GUGCCAGCAGCCGCGGUAAUACAGAGGGUGCGAGCGUUAAUCGGAAUUACUGGGCGUAAAGCGCACGUAGUCGGCUUGUCAAGUCGGGUGUGAAAUCCCCGGGCUCAACCUGGGAACUGCAUCCGAGACUGACUUGCUAGAGUAUGGGAGAGGGAAGCGGAAUUUCUGGUGUAGCAGUGAAAUGCGUAGAUAUCAGAAGGAACAUCAGUGGCGAAGGCGGCUUCCUGGACCAAUACUGACGAUCAGGUGCGAAAGCGUGGGGAGCAAACAGGAUUAGAAACCCGAGUAGUCC